Molecule: long non-coding RNA, 912 nt
Organism: Symsagittifera roscoffensis
Lineage: Eukaryota; Metazoa; Xenacoelomorpha; Acoela; Convolutidae
Exons: 3
Source: RefSeq, a predicted model, not a curated record
GGGAGGGCUCUUCUCCGGCAUGUUGCUUUUAUUCUUGUGCAGAUUUCGUUUCAAUCCUUUUAAAUUCUUGUUCAUUUUUCAUUUGUCCGUGUUUUCAGCGUGCGCCACAGAAGUGUGUUGAUAUCUGAUUGGUGGUACGAAGACUUCCUACUGGACACCCCCGAACCCUCGCUGGGCGCCAACUUCGGAUGGGUCUUCGGCAUACCCUUCGCAAUCAUCAUCGUCCACUUUAUCCUCUACACUCUGCUGGUGUAUCUGGUGUUGCGGCCGGAAAGAGAGUCCACUCCCACCAGCUUCUACCAGAUCAUGGCCAACGAUGACUCAUACAUCACUCGAUUCAUUCAGUUCUUCUCCGAACGAGCCGUGACUCAGUACGCUGUGUACACUUUCCUGUACUUAGUGGGGGUGGGGGUCGCGCUUCUCCUAGCUGUGGUCUGGUGGGAAAGCGAAGAGAGCUGUGCCAUCGUCCUCUGCCUUCAGUCUAUCGCCCCCCUCUGGAAUGGCGGAGAGUUCUACGUCAAGAUACUCGCACCCAAAAAUUUUGACCCCGCCUCAUAUUGAACUUUUAUAUACUGAAAAAGUAACACACGCUCAUACGUAAAAUCAAUUUCGAAUCUCAAGUGGUUGAAAUCAUUUCAUUUUGGUUGACGAUAAUCAAUCAAGAUAAUGACGAAACGUUUGAAAAACGUCGAUAAUUAAAAGCACAAAAUGAACUCAUAAAUUUGGUAAAUGCGACCUAAAAUAAAACGAAGAAAAACCAUCUGAAUACCUUUUUCAAAUAAAUCAUAUCAAAUUAUAUCAGUGAAUUUAAUCUAUCACAUCCACAGCGUCGAUUAUUUUUGUAGAAAAGUUGUAAAUUUAAUUGUAAAUAGAACUAGUAGAAAAAAAGAAGUUGUUAUUUUUGUUUCUGAA